Molecule: ribosomal RNA, 1494 nt
Filed under: uncultured organism
Description: SSU rRNA
Rfam family: Bacterial small subunit ribosomal RNA
Source: RNAcentral
GGAUGAACGCUGGCGGCGUGCCUAAUACAUGCAAGUCGAACGAGUUCUCGUUGAUGAUCGGUGCUUGCACCGAGAUUCAACAUGGAACGAGUGGCGGACGGGUGAGUAACACGUGGGUAACCUGCCCUUAAGUGGGGGAUAACAUUUGGAAACAGAUGCUAAUACCGCAUAGAUCCAAGAACCGCAUGGUUCUUGGCUGAAAGAUGGCGUAAGCUAUCGCUUUUGGAUGGACCCGCGGCGUAUUAGCUAGUUGGUGAGGUAAUGGCUCACCAAGGCGAUGAUACGUAGCCGAACUGAGAGGUUGAUCGGCCACAUUGGGACUGAGACACGGCCCAAACUCCUACGGGAGGCAGCAGUAGGGAAUCUUCCACAAUGGACGCAAGUCUGAUGGAGCAACGCCGCGUGAGUGAAGAAGGCUUUCGGGUCGUAAAACUCUGUUGUUGGAGAAGAAUGGUCGGCAGAGUAACUGUUGUCGGCGUGACGGUAUCCAACCAGAAAGCCACGGCUAACUACGUGCCAGCAGCCGCGGUAAUACGUAGGUGGCAAGCGUUAUCCGGAUUUAUUGGGCGUAAAGCGAGCGCAGGCGGUUUUUUAAGUCUGAUGUGAAAGCCCUCGGCUUAACCGAGGAAGCGCAUCGGAAACUGGGAAACUUGAGUGCAGAAGAGGACAGUGGAACUCCAUGUGUAGCGGUGAAAUGCGUAGAUAUAUGGAAGAACACCAGUGGCGAAGGCGGCUGUCUGGUCUGUAACUGACGCUGAGGCUCGAAAGCAUGGGUAGCGAACAGGAUUAGAUACCCUGGUAGUCCAUGCCGUAAACGAUGAAUGCUAGGUGUUGGAGGGUUUCCGCCCUUCAGUGCCGCAGCUAACGCAUUAAGCAUUCCGCCUGGGGAGUACGACCGCAAGGUUGAAACUCAAAGGAAUUGACGGGGGCCCGCACAAGCGGUGGAGCAUGUGGUUUAAUUCGAAGCAACGCGAAGAACCUUACCAGGUCUUGACAUCUUUUGAUCACCUGAGAGAUCAGGUUUCCCCUUCGGGGGCAAAAUGACAGGUGGUGCUUGGUUGUCGUCAGCUCGUGUCGUGAGAUGUUGGGUUAAGUCCCGCAACGAGCGCAACCCUUAUGACUAGUUGCCAGCAUUUAGUUGGGCACUCUAGUAAGACUGCCGGUGACAAACCGGAGGAAGGUGGGGAUGACGUCAAAUCAUCAUGCCCCUUAUGACCUGGGCUACACACGUGCUACAAUGGAUGGUACAACGAGUUGCGAGACCGCGAGGUCAAGCUAAUCUCUUAAAGCCAUUCUCAGUUCGGACUGUAGGCUGCAACUCGCCUACACGAAGUCGGAAUCGCUAGUAAUCGCGGAUCAGCACGCCGCGGUGAAUACGUUCCCGGGCCUUGUACACACCGCCCGUCACACCAUGAGAGUUUGUAACACCCGAAGCCGGUGGCGUAACCCUUUUAGGGAGCGAGCCGUCUAAGGUGGGACAAAUGAUUAGGGUGA